GAUGAACGCUGGCGGCGUGCCUAAUACAUGCAAGUCGAGCGAACAGACGAGGAGCUUGCUCCUCUGACGUUAGCGGCGGACGGGUGAGUAACACGUGGAUAACCUACCUAUAAGACUGGGAUAACUUCGGGAAACCGGAGCUAAUACCGGAUAAUAUAUUGAACCGCAUGGUUCAAUAGUGAAAGACGGUUUUGCUGUCACUUAUAGAUGGAUCCGCGCCGCAUUAGCUAGUUGGUAAGGUAACGGCUUACCAAGGCAACGAUGCGUAGCCGACCUGAGAGGGUGAUCGGCCACACUGGAACUGAGCCCCGGUCCAGACUCCUACGGGAGGCAGCAGUAGGGAAUCUUCCGAAAUGGGCGAAAGCCUGACGGAGCAACGCCGCGUGAGUGAUGAAGGUCUUCGGAUCGUAAAACUCUGUUAUUAGGGAAGAACAAAUGUGUAAGUAACUAUGCACGUCUUGACGGUACCUAAUCAGAAAGCCACGGCUAACUACGU
RNAcentral lists this ribosomal RNA (496 nucleotides) under uncultured bacterium. RNAcentral's name for it is "partial 16S ribosomal RNA". It matches the Rfam family "Bacterial small subunit ribosomal RNA", at positions 28 to 506 of the family's 1533-position model. The record is from RNAcentral.